Molecule: transfer RNA, 65 nt
Filed under: Plutella porrectella (Dame's rocket moth)
Lineage: Eukaryota; Metazoa; Arthropoda; Insecta; Lepidoptera; Plutellidae
Description: tRNA-Ile
Source: RNAcentral
AAUAAAGUGCCUGAAAAAGGAUUAUUCUGAUAGAAUAAAUCAUGUAAUUAAAAUUACCUUUAUUA